AUCUGGGCGGCGGAAUUCAGGAUGGUGGAGCGGGUCUCGCGCUCGUUCGGCCGUUUGAUAUUUCCGUCGCCGUGUCAGACGUCGCGACCUGUUCGUCGUCGGUCCUCGCUCGGAGGAAUCGCGAUCGAGUUCGUUGCGGACGCGUUUCGGCGCGCUCUGUGGCGAAGGCGCGGCUCUCUGGCUGACGACGGACAGUAAGCAACGGUGUCCGGCGUCGUGUCUCGCACUCGACGUCGGUGCCGGUCAGCGACGAUUUCUUCGGGCCUCUUUCCGACCCGUCUUGAAACACGGACCAAGGAGUCUAACAUGCGCGCGAGUCGCGGGGUUUCGAGCGUGCCAUGGUGCGCUCGUCACUUGCGAAACCCGUACGUUGAAGGCGUAAUGAAAGUGAASAGGGAAGAUGGCGUUCCGAGUCCACGUACCGUGAUCGAGUAUCGCGGCCGGACGUCCGCACUCCCGGGGCGUCUCAAUGGUUCGUCGCGGAUGCGGAUGGUCGUCUCUCGGGGCGGCCGUCGGUCUGCGCCGGUCCGA
Molecule: ribosomal RNA, 531 nt
Filed under: Quernaspis lepineyi (oak scurfy scale)
Lineage: Eukaryota; Metazoa; Arthropoda; Insecta; Hemiptera; Diaspididae
Description: eukaryotic LSU rRNA
Source: RNAcentral